CCAGGGAGGGCACACCACUGCUUCUGGAGCAGCCCAACUUCUGCGAUCACUCAAGGGGUAAUUAUGCCUCCAGCUUCCUGCGAUGGCUGUGAGGCAGGAAACAGUACCUCGAUGUUGGUUGCGUUCAGCUUCUCCUCCAUGACUUGCUUGAGGAUGAUGAGUGAAGACUUGAUGGCCUCCUUCAGAGUCAUAGACUUCAAGAGAGAUGAGCUGUUAGUUGAACAUGAUCCUUUCCUUCAACCCUCCCUGCAUCUCUCUGAAGAAACAACUUAGCCGAUAUUAAUAAACCUUACAUCCUAA
Molecule: long non-coding RNA, 300 nt
Organism: Mastomys coucha (southern multimammate mouse)
Lineage: Eukaryota; Metazoa; Chordata; Mammalia; Rodentia; Muridae
Exons: 2
Source: RefSeq, a predicted model, not a curated record